Molecule: ribosomal RNA, 484 nt
Filed under: uncultured bacterium
Lineage: Bacteria
Description: partial 16S ribosomal RNA
Rfam family: Bacterial small subunit ribosomal RNA
Source: RNAcentral
AUUGAACGCUGGCGGCAGGCCUAACACAUGCAAGUCGAGCGGAUGAAGGGAGCUUGCUCCUGGAUUCAGCGGCGGACGGGUGAGUAAUGCCUAGGAAUCUGCCUGGUAGUGGGGGAUAACGUCCGGAAACGGGCGCUAAUACCGCUUACGUCCUGAGGGAGAAAGUGGGGGAUCUUCGGACCUCACGCUAUCAGAUGAGCCUAGGUCGGAUUAGCUAGUUGGUGGGGUAAAGGCCUACCAAGGCGACGAUCCGUAACUGGUCUGAGAGGAUGAUCAGUCACACUGGAACUGAGACACGGUCCAGACUCCUACGGGAGGCAGCAGUGGGGAAUAUUGGACAAUGGGCGAAAGCCUGAUCCAGCCAUGCCGCGUGUGUGAAGAAGGUCUUCGGAUUGUAUAGCACUUUAAGUUGGGAGGAAGGGCAGUAAGUUAAUACCUUGCUGUUUUGACGUUACCAACAGAAUAAGCACCGGCUAACUUCGUG